GAUCCUGGCUCAGGAUGAACGCUGGCGGCGUGCCUAACACAUGCAAGUCGAGCGAUUUACUUCGGUAAAGAGCGGCGGACGGGUGAGUAACGCGUGGGUAACCUGCCCUAUACACACGGAUAACAUACCGAAAGGUAUGCUAAUACGAGAUAACAUAAGGAAUUCGCAUGGGUUUCUUAUCAAAGUUUUUGCGGUAUAGGAUGGACCCGCGUCUGAUUAGCUAGUUGGUAAGGUAACGGCUUACCAAGGCGACGA
RNAcentral lists this ribosomal RNA (255 nucleotides) under uncultured bacterium. Its description in RNAcentral is "partial 16S ribosomal RNA". It matches the Rfam family "Bacterial small subunit ribosomal RNA", at positions 15 to 279 of the family's 1533-position model. The record is from RNAcentral.